Molecule: ribosomal RNA, 497 nt
Filed under: uncultured bacterium
Lineage: Bacteria
Description: partial 16S ribosomal RNA
Rfam family: Bacterial small subunit ribosomal RNA
Source: RNAcentral
GAUGAACGCUGGCGGCGUGCCUAAUACAUGCAAGUCGAGCGAACGGACGAGAAGCUUGCUUCUCUGAUGUUAGCGGCGGACGGGUGAGUAACACGUGGAUAGCCUACCUAUAAGACUGGGAUAACUUCGGGAAACCGGAGCUAAUACCGGAUAAUAUUUUGAACCGCAUGGUUCAAAAGUGAAAGACGGUCUUGCUGUCACUUAUAGAUGGAUCCGCGCUGCAUUAGCUAGUUGGUAAGGUAACGGCUUACCAAGGCAACGAUGCAUAGCCGACCUGAGAGGGUGAUCGGCCACACUGGAACUGAGGCACGGUCCAGACUCCUACGGGAGGCAGCAGUAGGGAAUCUUCCGCAAUGGGCGAAAGCCUGACGGAGCAACGCCGCGUGAGUGAUGAAGGUCUUCGGAUCGUAAAACUCUGUUAUUAGGGAAGAACAUAUGUGUAAGUAACUGUGCACAUCUUGACGGUACCUAAUCAGAAAGCCACGGCUAACUACGUG